Molecule: ribosomal RNA, 503 nt
Filed under: uncultured bacterium
Lineage: Bacteria
Description: partial 16S ribosomal RNA
Rfam family: Bacterial small subunit ribosomal RNA
Source: RNAcentral
AUUGAACGCUGGCGGCAGGCCUAACACAUGCAAGUCGAACGGUAGCACAGAGAGCUUGCUCUCGGGUGACGAGUGGCGGACGGGUGAGUAAUGUCUGGGAAACUGCCCGAUGGAGGGGGAUAACUACUGGAAACGGUAGCUAAUACCGCAUAACGUCGCAAGACCAAAGUGGGGGACCUUCGGGCCUCACACCAUCGGAGGUGCCCAGAUGGGAUUAGCUAGUAGGUGGGGUAAUGGCUCACCUAGGCGACGAUCCCUAGCUGGUCUGAGAGGAGGGCCAGCACACUGGAACUGAGACACGGUCCAGACUCCUACGGGAGGCAGCAGUGGGGAAUAUUGCACAAUGGGCGCAAGCCUGAUGCAGCCAUGCCGCGUGUAUGAAGAAGGCCUUCGGGUUGUAAAGUACUUUCAGCGGGGAGGAAGGCGGUGAAGUUAAUAACUUCACCGAUUGACGUUACCCGCAGAAGAAGCACCGGCUAACUCCGUGCCAGCCGCCGCCGUAA